Cyprinus carpio carpio is the source of this 1276-nucleotide long non-coding RNA. The record is from Ensembl. Lineage: Eukaryota; Metazoa; Chordata; Actinopteri; Cypriniformes; Cyprinidae.
AUUUUAUUAUUAUUAGUUAAUAAUAAUAAUAAUGUUAUUAUCAUUAAUAAUAAUAAUAAUAAUAAUAAUAAUUAUUAUUAUUAUUAUUAACAAAUUAACAAGUUAACAUUAAAAACUAUAUAUAUAUAUAUAUAUAUAUAUAUAUAUAUAUAUAUAUAUAUAUAUAUAUAUAUAUAUAUAUAUAUAUAUAUAUAUAUAAUCUACAGAUAAGAGUAAGAACUGAGGGAAUUUUCAUUUUUGGGUGACCUAUCCCUUUAAGAAAAGGAUUUGAGGAUUUGAUUGCCUUUGUUUGACUAAAAACACUUUUUUCUUUCUUAACACCGUACAUACAGUAAAUGCUUCUCAUGAUGCAUACUGAUGGUUUGCACAACACGUGAACUCCUUGUUACUUUAUCCCCACCAGGAUUAGUCAGAGAGAGAGAGGUUCUCACCUGUAUGUGGCUUCUAACUUCUCCUCAUGUCAGUCCCAUCUCUUUAAUCAGUGGUUUGGAAUCCUGUGACCUCUGACCUCUCGGCUGUCUCACAGCACCUGUGCCACAGGCAGACGUGUCACCUCCCUGUCAUGUAAGCUCCACUCCGCUCUUUACAGUGACUGUGGUGUCUGGGUGUCUGGCCCCACAGAGCCCCUGAUUGCUCCCCCAGGAAGGUGUUAGAGAGGUGGGCGAAGCCACCUGCCACUGCCCUACAGCGAUGGAGCGAGCGGAGGGCCUGGGGCUCAGCAUGACUGCUGGAAAUACAACACAUUGUGCUGCCAAAGACCAUUCCAAUAGGGGGGAGAGAGAAAGAGAAAACCAGAAGAAAUGACUGCACCAUUGCAACGAGUGACAACGUUGGCUCCUUCGAAGUGAAAAACUGUGCCUAUGGAGACAGCAAAGUCACUCAGGACCAAUUUUCCUUCUGCUAAACCAGGUGCUGUUUCUGGGCAGCAACCACUCCAAAGGGAGAGAAAGGUGACAAUGGAAAAAGGGCCGACAUGCUUUAUGAGGUAUUUCUGUGGAAAUAGCCAGCCUGUCAGCCGCUACAAGAAAGCAUAAACAACCUGUUGUACUUUUUAACUGUUGUAUCCUUUAAAAAGACCCAGGGGGAAUUUUAAAAUACUGCCGCCGAGCUAAAUUACUUGCAGCCCUUUGGGGACCCUUUGUGAGAACCAUAUACAUUUAUUUUGUGUAAAGUAUGCAACAGAAUACACCGUUAAAAGGGAUUUUAGGAUAGAGAUGGGACAAUAUAAUCUGUACAGGCGUCGAUUAAGUGCAGAUGAGUGUCAGCUAUGUUAUAG